GAUAAUGGCAGUUCGACGGUGAACCAGCUUGCUUGGUGGAUCAGUGGCGAACGGGUGAGUAACACGUGAGCAACCUGCCCUGGACUCUGGGAUAAGCGCUGGAAACGGCGUCUAAUACUGGAUAUGAGACGUGAUCGCAUGGUCGUGUUUGGAAAGAUUUUUCGGUCUGGGAUGGGCUCGCGGCCUAUCAGCUUGUUGGUGAGGUAAUGGCUCACCAAGGCGUCGACGGGUAGCCGGCCUGAGAGGGUGACCGGCCACACUGGGACUGAGACACGGCCCAGACUCCUACGGGAGGCAGCAGUGGGGAAUAUUGCACAAUGGGCGGAAGCCUGAUGCAGCAACGCCGCGUGAGGGAUGACGGCCUUCGGGUUGUAAACCUCUUUUAGCAGGGAAGAAGCGAAAGUGACGGUACCUGCAGAAAAAGCGCCGGCUAACUACGUGCCAGCAGCCGCGGUAAUACGUAGGGCGCAAGCGUUAUCCGGAAUUAUUGGGCGUAAAGAGCUCGUAGGCGGUUUGUCGCGUCUGCUGUGAAAUCCCGAGGCUCAACCUCGGGGUCUGCAGUGGGGUACGGGGCGGACUAGAGUGCGCGUAGGGGAGAUUG
RNAcentral lists this ribosomal RNA (601 nucleotides) under Microbacterium sp. Its description in RNAcentral is "bacterial SSU rRNA". It matches the Rfam family "Bacterial small subunit ribosomal RNA", at positions 50 to 664 of the family's 1533-position model. The record is from RNAcentral. Lineage: Bacteria; Bacillati; Actinomycetota; Actinomycetes; Micrococcales; Microbacteriaceae.